GAUGACGUUCCCACUUCUCAGUAGCUUGUGAAAGUCCUGGCAGCCCCCCAAGGCAGCUUGUGAUGAGCCAAUUCUGGGGCCCUAAAGUCCAUGUCUGUGGUUUCCACCCUAAAUUCAGUUAAAUUCCAUUUGGUCAGGAAUCUGGGAGUGCCAGGCACAGAGAGGUGAGUCAGCUACAGACACGGGCACAGGGACAGUGCUUGGAAUCCCAGAAGGAGCUGUGAGUCGAUGGGGGCAGGGAAGAGAGGAGAGGGCCCUGGCGAGGUCACUUUAAAUUAGAUGUUGCAGUAUCAUGUUUGGCCCCAUACUUAGCAGAGUGAGCUUUUGUAUCUGUCAGCCGUUGUUAUAGAUAUAAGUUUGGCCUUGAGGGAGCAAGCCCUGGAGAGGCAGAUAGAAGAAAAGAGCACUCCAGGAAGAAGACUCAGCAUGAUUGAAAGUGCAGUCAGAGCAGGCAUGGUUUGGUGAUGACAUUCUGGAAGGUUCUUACUUCUGAAGAGACUCAGAAUAUGCAGAGCUAGAGUCACCUUUGCAGGUGUCCUGUGAAAUUCAAGCUUAGUUGUGAUGAGAACAUUUGGGCUUUGGAAUCUGAAUCCAUAUUCUACCCAAUGAGCUUUGUGAGCUUAGGCAAAUCUCCCUGAAAUUCCCUAAACGUCAUACACCCCAUCAGUGAGCUGAGGACAACAAUGGUGUCUAACUUUUAGGUCUGUUGUAUGAAAUGAGAUGAGGCAUGUACACUCUUAGCAGCAAGCCGGCCACAUAAUGGGUGCUAAAUAACCAGCUGCUCUCAUCUCUUUCAUUAGCCAGCAUCCGCUUUCUGAAGGCCACCAAGAUCUGUGUGUCAGGCAAAAGCAACGUCCAGUCCUACAGCUGCGUGAGGUGCAAUUACACAGAGGCCUUCCAGACUCAGACCAGACCCUCUGGAGGCAAAUGGACGUUUUCCUACAUUGGUUUCUCUGUGGAGCUGAACACACAAUAUUUCAUUGGGGCCCAUAACAUCCCCAAUGCAAAUAUGAAUGAUGACAGCCCCUCAUUGUCUGUGAAUUUCACCUCACCAGGCUGCCUAGACCAUCUAAUGAAAUACAAAACCCAGUGCAUCCAGGCAGGUAAGUGAAUACAGCACUUGCUUUUGUUAUUUGAAGGAACUCGUAACUUGAGCCAACAAGCUCAGCCCAUCUUCCAUGAGAAACGGAGGCGAGGGCAGGGGACUAUGUAUGCAAGCUGCUCAGGCAGUGAAGGCUGACCCGCCAGGGCUUUGCCCACUGAAUCCCGCAGCCAGUGUGUCCAGGAAGGACAGACCUGAGUGGGUUUAUGUAGUAAGCAAGUCACAGAACCAUGCCACACCCUGGUGGCUGAACCGACAUUUUAGCUCUAACCACAUAUGGUGGUGCUGAUCAAAGGCCCUUCCUGAUUGGAGGGGAGUCUGUAAGCCCUUCCACCUGCUCGGGCACCUGUAUCUCUGACCUGUGGCCGUGGGGCCCUGGGAACCUUCUAUGUGGAUUAGCAAAUAUUCCUGGUACGAGUACUAGCUGAAACAGUGACCUGAAAGCAUGUUCUCAACCUGUGUCCUCACAGGGGUCACCUCUUACAUGCGAGGCCACUAGAACCUGCCCCUACCCUUUCAAUUUUGAAAUCAGCCCCUUCAGGACAAACAGUCCCAAGUGUCCAAUUUCCAAAGAUUGUAGGACUUGUUUAAAUUUCUGAGUAAUAUAGUGUGAGGAUGCUCAAGAGGCUAGUGGUAUUUAGCAGAAUUGGUCCCUAUCUUUUAGGCACCCCCAUCCCACAAGGCAUCCCUGUGUACCCUGUCA
This is a long non-coding RNA of Myotis brandtii (Brandt's bat), 1805 nucleotides long. RefSeq lists it as uncharacterized. The record is from RefSeq and is a predicted model, not a curated record. Lineage: Eukaryota; Metazoa; Chordata; Mammalia; Chiroptera; Vespertilionidae. The transcript is spliced from 3 exons.